AUUGAACGCUGGCGGCAGGCCUAACACAUGCAAGUCGAGCGAGCGGCGGACAGGUGAGUAAUGUCUGGGAAACUGCCUGAUUGAGGGGGAUAAAUACUGGAAACGGUAGCUAAUACCGCAUACCAUCGGAUGUGCCCAGAGGGGAUUAGCUAGGAGGUGGGGUAACGGCGCACCUAGGCGACGAUCCCUAGCUUGUCUGAGAGGAUUACCAGCCACACUGGAACUGUGACACGGUCCAGACUCCUACGGGAGGCAGCAGUUGGGAAUAUUGCACAAUGGGCGCAAGCCUGAUGCAGCCAGGCCGCGUGUAUGAAGAAGGCCUUCGGGUUGUAAAGUACUUUCAGCGGGGAGGCGUUACCCGCAGAAGAAGCACCGGCUAACUCCGUGCCAGCAGCCGCGGUAAUUC
This 406-nucleotide ribosomal RNA is filed under the name uncultured bacterium. RNAcentral describes it as "partial 16S ribosomal RNA". It matches the Rfam family "Bacterial small subunit ribosomal RNA", at positions 30 to 526 of the family's 1533-position model. The record is from RNAcentral.